GUGCUUUCUUUGGCAGCAUAUUUACUAAAAUUGGAACAAUAAAGAUCAGCAUGGCCCCUGUCCAAGGAUAACUGACAAAUUCAUGACGUUUUGGAGUAAUAU
Saimiri boliviensis boliviensis (Bolivian squirrel monkey) is the source of this 102-nucleotide small nuclear RNA. Lineage: Eukaryota; Metazoa; Chordata; Mammalia; Primates; Cebidae. The record is from Ensembl.